AAAACGGCCCUCUUUAGGGCCACAACAAUGCAUUCGACGUAAAAAAG
Aedes aegypti (yellow fever mosquito) is the source of this 47-nucleotide non-coding RNA. NCBI's taxonomy places the organism in Eukaryota, Metazoa, Arthropoda, Insecta, Diptera, Culicidae. The record is from Rfam.